CCGUGUACGUACAAGCAGUGGGAGCACAGGUUUACCUGUGUGACUGCGUACCUUUUGUAUAAUGGGUCAGCGACUUAUAUUCUGUAGCAAGGUUAACCGAAUAGGGGAGCCGGAGGGAAACCGAGUCUUAAUUGGGCGUUAAGUUGCAGGGUAUAGACCCGAAACCCGGUGAUCUAGCCAUGGGCAGGUUGAAGGUUGGGUAACACUAACUGGAGGACCGAACCGACUAAUGUUGAAAAAUUAGCGGAUGACCUGUGGCUGGGGGUGAAAGGCCAAUCAAACCGGGAGAUAGCUGGUUCUCCCCGAAAGCUAUUUAGGUAGCGCCUCGUGAAUUCAUCUCCGGGGGUAGAGCACUGUUUCGGCUAGGGGGCCAUCCCGGCUUACCAACCCGAUGCAAACUGCGAAUACCGGAGAAUGUUAUCACGGGAGACACACGGCGGGUGCUAACGUCCGUCGUGAAGAGGGAAACAACCCAGACCGCCAGCUAAGGUCCCAAAGUCAUGGUUAAGUGGGAAACGAUGUGGGAAGGCCCAGACAGCCAGGAUGUUGGCUUAGAAGCAGCCAUCAUUUAAAGAAAGCGUAAUAGCUCACUGGUCGAGUCGGCCUGCGCGGAAGAUGUAACGGGGCUAAACCAU
Molecule: ribosomal RNA, 635 nt
Filed under: Salmonella enterica
Lineage: Bacteria; Pseudomonadati; Pseudomonadota; Gammaproteobacteria; Enterobacterales; Enterobacteriaceae
Also listed under: 1 other name
Description: partial 23S ribosomal RNA
Rfam family: Bacterial large subunit ribosomal RNA
Source: RNAcentral